GGACAAGAAGACUUUCCAAGAGACCCAGCCCCGAGGUCCCGCCCCCUGCCAGCAGGGCCAGGUCGGUCCCCAGCUGACACACAGCCUCAGGGACACUCAAAGUGCACACUCAGCUGCCACGGCACUGCACACACCACAGCACACACCACGGGGGCUCUGUCGCUUUGCGGAGGCGUGUCCCCCGACCCCGCGACGGCAGCCGCCCUGUGGCUGGGCCAGUGGGGCUGUGUGCUCUGAUGGGUGUCUGUACGCCCUGUGCACCCACGGCCCUUGGGAGCUGCUCAGCACGGGAGCUGCGGGGUCUCGGGUGGCACAGGCUGGCACCUCUGGAAACUCCGUGCAGAGGGGUGUGUCGGUCAUUUCACAGAGUAGAGGCCCAUCCCAGCCCCACGCUGGGCACCUGAAUUCAAAGACUCCGUUCAGAACCCCGGAAAGGACGGGGACACUGUGGUGGGUUUUCGCGGGGAGGUGCAGACGUGGCUCCCGACAGGGUUCCAUCUGUCAAUCACAGCUCAGUGGAGCGGGGGGAGGAGCCAAGGUCGGGACCACCAAGCCAUCCGGCUCCCGGGAGGCAGCCCUGGGAACCCGCUGACCAAAUGGGACACAACGUCAGGGUGGGCAUGAAGGGUCCCUAGGAUGCAGUGGGACCUACGCAGGGCACACCUGCAGAAGGGACACUGGUGACAGACAGGCAGGGGCAGGGUGACAGGAUUGAACCUGGCUGUGCCUGCAGGACGCGCCCCUGCUGCCAGGUAGCGCUCAGGACAGGAAAGUCACAAACCAUGGCCUAGUGUGAGUGCUGCCACCCUUGUCCCCGUGUUGUGUCGGACGCUGACACCAAGGCGGUACUGUCUACCUGGGAUCUGAAGGAAUGUCACUGAAGGACACCUGGACCUGAGCGGGCACUGGGUUUCUGGGCCGAGCCACCAAGUCCACGCGGGCCUCACGGAGCACAGGAGGUAGGCCCUGCCCUGCAUGGCCACCUGCCCACCGACACCUGCACCCAGCUCCAUGCUGGCCCAACUGGGCCCCAGUGUACAGAGCCCUUCUCAGACCCCAGCCCACACCAGGGGACAGAGCUGUCCCCUCUCAGGGCAGUUGGCAGCCCGGCCACCUCACCAGGGAGCACACAGGGCCUGUGCGAAACUCAAAGUGCCCCGGUGUGAGGUCGCACUUCCCAGGUGGCUUCUCGAGGGUCACCGCUGCGCACGGCCAGCAAGUGCCCUUCCCAGCCCCCACCGGCCCCCCCAGCCGGGCUGUGUCACGCAGAGGGCCCUGGGGCACCCGGGAAGAGUCUGCUUUACAGGUGGGAAACUGAGGCCGGGAGAGGAGGCCGUGGCAGCAGGUCCAGGCCGGGUCUGCCUCCGAGGCCAGGGCUCUCUGCAGAGCCCCUGGGGGUCUGCCGUGCCCCUCCCCAUCGGCCACCACCCACUUCUGGGCUGGAGGUCCCCAAGGUCUCGCUACCUCCAACCAGACCACCUGGCCCAUGGGAAAGGCCCGGAGGCAGGCCCCCGGCCUCUAGGUCGUGGGGUAAAGCUGAGGACCAGGCAGGGGAGUGGAGCCUUCUAGACACGGCGCCCUGCUCCAUGGUCCUGUGCCCUGCACCAAGAGCAAGCCUCAGAGGCAGGGGGGAGCCCCGGCCAGCCCCGCCUGGACCCACUGACCCGAGCUCCUCCAGAGGCGGGGCCCAGGCUCAGGUGUGUGGGGCCCGUGCGCCUCACGCCCCGUCUCUGGAAGGCUCUGCCGGGCCCAGCUGGUCAGAUGAGGCCCCUCCGUCCCUCACCCCUCCAGCCUGGCUGUGCUGAAGGACUGGGCACGGGAGCACCCCCUGAAGUCGGGUCCCGUCUGGGGCGUCACCGGGGUGCCUCUGGUGUCUCCCACAAGGCACCUGCCAUUUGGUGAUCAGCCACCAGGAAACAGCCGCACUGGGUCUGUGGGACCCAGGAAGCCUCGGGACCAACGGUGGCCGGGCUCGACUCAGGAGAACAGGGGCGUCCCCGGGAAGUCAGCUCCCGUCCAGGGAGGAGCCGAGGCAGCAGCCCCGCCCAGGACACAGGGCAGCUCUCAGCAAACCCCCAGAGGGAGGCCAGGAGGCGAGGAUGGGGAGGCCGGGCCAGGCCUGGAGCGAGGUUUCCUGGCCUCACCAAAGACCCCUGGCCCAGCAGGGCGGCGCCGAGCAUGGUGGGCCUGUCCUGCACUGGGGGGAGCGUGUCCCAGGGCCGGAGCGAGACAGAAAUGUCCAGUCGUCCCGGGGGUGGAGGGCGCAUUCUGAAGGCUCCGAGUGACGGGCACACAGGGCGGCUAUGGAGAGCCCUGUCCCCGAGGCUGUGCCAGCCACAAGUCUGGGAGGAUCUUCCUCCACCUGCUUCUUGCCAAACGGCCUGAUGAGAUCAAUGACGGUCACAGGGGACUUUCUGCCCAGGGCUCCCAAUCAGUGCUGGAAAGUGACCCAUCCGUUUACAGCAGGGCCCUCCCACCUGGCCCUGUCACCCGAGGCCCGGCGUCCCCCUCCGAGUCACCAGCUGGACUCCAAGGCAGGGCUUGCCCCUCCGCCCUUCCACAGGCCCCGCCAGAGGCCACCAGACAAUGUCCUAGAUCACUGGCUCCCCGGGGCGCAUCCCCAUCAAGUCACAGGUGAAAUGGCAGCUGGGGGGCCUGGUUGUUGGCAAGUGGCAAAGAGAAGGUGCUGGCCCAUCCGCCCGACGACGAAGACCGAGUCCUCGGCCACUCGGCCGACUCCGAGCCAAGAGAUGGAAGUCAGAGUCUGGGGCACCAGGAAGGAGGCCCCCGGCUCCUUCGCCCACAGGGUGACCGUCGCCCAGGGUGGUGUCGUGGGGCCUGGCCUCUUGUCCCAGGUCGGCUCUGGCGUGCUGCAGUGUUUGGGUCAUCUCAGGGGCCAGGUGCCUCCCGAGGUCCCUGUGGCACACACAACAUCUCCCCCGAUAGGGUCUCGAGCUCCUCUGCCCUGGGGUGCCACCGCACAGCCGGGGGCUCUAGGACCCGCUGCCCCCGGGGGGGCCAGUGCCCAUGGCGGGCUCUGCUAAUGGCCGUGGCACGGCUUGGGCUGGGUGGUCAGAAGCAGGUGCCUAAUCUGCAUCCCUGGCACCCAAGGCCCCCAACGCUGGUGCUGCCCCCCGUGGGUCUCUGGGAGACCCGAGACCACUCUGCAGACCGGGGAGCCCAGGGAAGCAGACCUGGGGUGGGCAGUGGGAAUCUGCGCUCAGACAUUGCCGGGGUCAGGUCCCCCCAAGGGCCGGGCCUAUCUGCUUUCAGGAUGAGACUCCGCUGCCUCACAGAGCCCAGGUCGGGUCAGAAUCAGGAGGGGCCUCCCUGCCCAGACCGUCCUUCUAGGAAGCCCAGAGCCAGGAAGGACAGAGCAUGGCUCCACCGUGGGCCUCCAACCAUCCGGGUCAGCAGAGGGACCGUCCUCCCCCACUGGUCUCCAUGCACCCUGGGAAGGUCACGUGGGAAGCCCCUCCCCACAAGGCUGCCAGCCUCAGGACGGUCUCCCAGCGUCCAUAGUGGCCUGGGCCUGGCUGCUGAGGUCCAUCAGUGUCCUGCAGGUGACAUGCGGGCCGUGGGUGGGCUCAACCCCCGUCUUCCUGCCUGGGCAGGCUGAGCGCGGGCAGCUCAGAUGGUCCCCACUGGGCCUCCUUUGGCUUGGUGCUGGCCCGUGCGCUGCCUGGCAGCGAGGUGCUCCCGAUGGCCACGGCUGGCGGAGGGAGGCCCGCGGCCUCCCUGUCCUCCUCUCUCCCCCUCCUUUGGCUCCUCCCUCCCUGUGCGGAGGCUCGGAGGAGGGCGCAGGGCUGCGGCCAGGGAGGAACCUGGGCUUCAGGAUUCCCUGGUCGGAGACCGUGCCCCCGGCCCAGGCUGGGUCCGCCUGCCCCGGCUCCCCGCUUCCACAGGACCUUGGGAGUUGCCCUGGCACCCGGCACCUUCCCUCCAGCCCAGCUGCCCUGGCCACUUCCUCUCCACAGCCUCAUGGCAACUGCAGGCCCCAAGCAGGACCCGCCCGAGCAGCUGCCAGCCCCAGUGGCCACACCAGGAGAAGCCCACACGUCCUGCCGCAGGCGGAGCCCGGACGCGCUGUGCUGGCUGCCCGACACCUGCCUGCCCGGCUUCCCGUCCAGACGCUGGACCGUGGGCAGCUGUGAGCUCCUGGGAGGGAGGCUGUGGACCCUCUGCCUGGCCACCCUGCCCCUGUCCUGCUUCUUGGCCCCACCAGCUUCCAGGCCAAUGCCCCGGCAAGUCUCGGAUGAUGAGGAGGAGAGCUCAGACCCUGGGCAGCCAAGGGCCACGGAAGGAAAGGGACAGCUUCCCCCCUGGCUUUGUCCUGGUCUCCAGCAGGUUUGGCCCAACCCGAUGCUUUGGUCACAGCAAGGUAAGGCCAGGGCUUGGGUGGGGACAGCACGGCAUCUGAGACGAGUAGCACUGCAGAGAGCCUUCCUACAAGGGCCGGCCAAAGGCCUGAUGCUCGCCACCAAGGAUAGCAACUGGGGCUCAGAGAGGUCGUGCUACUUGCCGAAGGGCACACAGCCAGCAGCAGGGGAGCCAAGCCUAGAGUUCGGGUCGCAUAACCCCACAGCUCUAGAGUCAGACACGCAGAGCGGUUUCUCCUGCUGUGGUACCAAAUAGAGCCAGGGCCACCCCGCAGAGUUCAGGCAGCUCCGACAAAGCCACUCUGUGAAGAGACCUGCUCCGGGGCCCCGAGCGCCCAGACCCGCCCGCGCCCUUGAGCUCCAGGUCAUCUUAAACCAGUGCCACCGCUCAGUCACCCUGACCCGGUGGGGUCCACAGAUCCACCUCCGCAAAGCAAGUCAAGUAAGCCAGCCGUCCCUUCACAGGGACAGGGACAGGAGAGCACCCCUGAGUGUCCCGGUGACCCGGGCCCAGACAGCUCCUCAGGCUGACCUCCUGCACCAGCCCAACGCUGGCUGCCCAGGGAGCAGGACGCGGGGACAGGGCAGGGAGCCAGUUCCCAGCUGUGGCCAGGCAGGCCCAGCCUCCAGGGGCUCCCCGCCCGGGGAGGGGGCCGGAGGUGGACAAGCACUUGACUCGGCCUCCUUGCUGGUGACCGGUUCCUCCCCUGGUCCUGAGUCUCUCCCAGGUGUGUGGUGGUGCAGGGGUGACCUGCAGGUCCAGCGCCAAGGCCACAGUCGCGACGUGGAGCCAAGAGGAGGCCUCAUCUGCUCUCACCAGAAAAGGGACGCGUGAGCCCAGGCGCCCGAAGGGCCCCGCGCAGCCCUCUGACCCCGGUGGACACCCGACAAGGCGGGUCUUCACCGUCCGGCCCGCGGCCUCGGGUUUUCUCCUGGACUCUUCCGACUGCCCUGCCUGCCUCUGGGUGGACGGCAGCCUGCAGGGCCGCCCCUGCUCCCCUCCCCUUCCCGUCCGUCUGUCCGCCCGGGGGACCUCGGUGAAUGCCUUUUGAAGCUCCAUGAGCAGGUGCAGGACGCCUGGGCCUGCCCCGUCCUGCCCUGUGGGUGCCGGGGCACGCGGGUCGCAGCUCAGGGUCUCGGCCUGCGCUCGCCCCGGGCGCGCGGCCUGCGGUGUCUUUCGGUUCUUCUCUCUUACUCUGUCUCCACGGGAGGUCGCUUUCCGCUGCUGGGUGCUGGGCCUGGUCAGCGGGGUGCUGGGCGCUGCCCCUUUUCCUGCCUCCUUCCUGCCUGGGCUUCUCGGGCCCUGGCCGUGGCUCACGGAUAUUGACGGGGAACCUCCCCGUCUCUGGCUGCCUGAGGAAGCCAGCGUCCUGGGGACAGCUCGGCCGUGCCCUGACUGUCCCCACUCCCCCAGCCCCUUGCUGUGGUGGUGGCCCUGGCCCUGGCCCCAGUCUUCCAGGCCUCCGCUGCCUCCUGUGCCCGCUCCUGUGUGCUCCCAAUUCGCCGAUGGUGGCCUGGCUCAGGACCCAUGCGGCCACUUCUCCUGUCACUUCAAGGGACCUUGUGAAGAGGUGCCUCCGGCCACCCCGUCGGAUCUUCCUACAGGAGCCUGUGAGAACCCACGGACCCAAGACGCCACCUCCCUCCCCGAUGGAGGCCAGGUCCCUGCACGGUGCCCAGGAGGCUUCUGCGUCGGGGUCCUCCUGGAGGUAGGGCUGAGGGCGCGCUGGCCGGGGCCACCCUUCCCAAUGGGCUCCCUGGGGACCAUCCUUCCUAUCUCCCUGGCACCCAGGAGGUCCAGGGGAGUCGCCGGGUGGUAAGGGGCUGUGGGACCCAAACCCGGCCUUCCGUUUCUAAAUCUCAGCUACCCCCACCCCCGGCGGCCAUGGCUGCCAGGUCCAUCACUGGUAUAACCCACGGUCCUGAUUCUAGAACAUUCCACACCUGCCCUCCUCACAGCCUCCUGGAGUCAGGGGCUCCCUGUUUGCCAACAGGGUGGGCCACGGGGUCCGGGAAAAGCUGCUGAGAGCCCACUCACUGUGCCUCAGUGUCCUGACCUGCAACAGGUCAUGGCCCACACUGGCAGGCUAUUGUGAGGACCAAAGGGGCAACCAGGCAUACAGUAGGAACUCAGUACGUGUGCAUGCCCCGCUCCACUUCCUCAAGCCUUGUCACAGACGGGCUCUGCCGCUCUGAGCCCACGUUAAGGAGCCCAGGUUCCAGGUCCUCCCCGAGAAGGACCAAAUGGACCGUCCGACCUACACCUCAGAGUCUGAGGGAGGAGCUCAGCCCAGACCUGGAGCAGGAUGCCUCAGGGCACAGGAGGGGCCGCCCGAGGCUACUCUAUGUGACGGCAGUGUGGUUUGUGGGGGUGCAAGCCCACCCACACCCAUCCAGCGGGGAGCCCUUCUUGAUCCAGGCCAGGUAUGAGCAUCUCCCAAGCUGGUCCAACCAGAGCAAGGUUCAAGGUUUUGUUCAGUUUAGAUCUGUCUUCCUCUGCCAAUGAGGUGUGUAGAUGCAAAGCCUGGGACUUCUGCAGCCACUUGGCUCCAUGAGGCACACAGCCUGACAACGCCAAGACAGGCAGAGCCAGAGAACCGCUGAGCCGCUCAGGCAGAGCCCCGGUCCAACCGCCCCGACUUCCCCGCCGUGCACGCCACUUUGAGCUGGUUUCGUGCCUCCUAAGACAAAAAUCCCCAAAUCACAGGAGCACCCAGGGAGGGCUGCCGCUGGUUCCACUAUCAGCUCGAGGGCUGGACUUGGAAGUCCAACGGCGCUCCUCCCAGUGGUCAAGGUCCAUCUGGAAAACCGAGAGCCCAUCCAUCGGAGGCUCCUUGGCGGUUUUCUGUAGAUGGCAGCUGAGCCCAGAAGAGGGAUGGCCUCCUCCAAGGCCACCCAGCCGGUCAGUGCCACGUUCAGCACCCGGGCCCGGCCUCUGGACUGCAGGCCGCACAGCAUUCCCAAAGGGAGAGCGGCCAGCGGGCCUGCCCAGCCUGACCCACCGACCUGCUGAAGUGAUGCUCCGCAGGCCGCGGGCUUCCCACCUCAGAGUCGCUGGGACCGUGGAGCCGCGUGUCGCGGGGCCGGGCCGCAGGGGGAGCCUGGGGACUGCUCCGCAGGAGGCCAGCGCCCACACGCUGGAAGCAGAUCAGAGCAGCCCGUCUCCCAGGGCCGCGGCCACUCCCCACUUGAGAAGGACUCUGUACCCAUUUCACUCUGUUCCCUUCUCGGUGGCUCUUUAAUGAGAUGAUGUUAGAGCUGGAAGUCCACAGUGGGGGCCGCGCAGACAGACAGACAGACAACCAGCCGGCCUCCUCCUCCCCUCCCCGGAGGUGCUGGGUGGGCAGCAAGAGGGGCCCAGCCACCGACUCCUGUCCCCUAGACACCCCUGGGCUGGGCUUGUGGCGUCUUUGCAGUCACAAUGGGACACAGGCAUCUGCCUGGUUCAGGUGGAGCAGGGGACACCAGAGACAGAAGAAGCCAAGAGGUCAGGACAAGGUCACAGCUAGCGAGAGACAGAGCUGAGGCCUGAAACCCUAGCUCCUGUCCCAUGCGCCCCCAGGAGCUCGCGUCACCCUGGGGACAGACGGUCUCCCGGGGCAGGAGGUCAGCAGGAGCUCAUGGAGAAUCCCCCUCCCACAGGGGGCAGUGGAGAGCCCAGGGCAGGACUGGAGGCCCCAGGGCUGGCCGUGGGGGUGGGGCUGUGUCCCAAGAUCCUUGGGGUCCCACAGCCAGGACCUGCCUCUGCCUCACACCUGGCCACGCUGUCCCCAUGCCUGCCCCACCCAGGUGAUGGGGCUCCUCUGGACGUGGCCCCGCCAGCCUCAGGCUGCUGCCCCGUGGCUCUGUGGCACCGCCGUGGGCAGGUGGCCCACAGGGGGGACUUACUGACUUCUAUGUGGUCGCCCGAGUUUUCUAGAAAAUUGUGGAAAAGAAACCAAUCGUGGCCGUUCAACGUUUCUAAGGUAAAAACAGGACAGGAGGGACAAGCUCCUGGGGGGAGGUCCACGUAAGGGGACGCCGGGCGGUCCUCACAGUCACAUCCACGAGGUGACGCAGAGGCACGGAAGUCAGGGGUUCCUGGCCACGCACGCGCGGGGUCUGCGUGUCUCCUGCGGGGGACGCCCACACGCACACCCCAAGCCCACCUCUGUCUGGGGAGGGAGAGGGACGGCCGGGGGCCCUGGGCCUCACAUUAGGCUCCUGAGCCGACCCUGAGCAGGGGCUCGGCAGAGACCAGGAGCACGCGGGGCUGGUGUGGGGACGGCCACCCAGAGUCACAGCUGAGCAGUGCCUGGAGGACAGUCCCCAAUGUGACUGUCAGGAAGCCGGUCGAGUGACGUGAAAAUUAUUCAGUGUUAAUGAUAAAGAAAAGAGGCACAAAAAAAAUUAAAAAUUAAAAAGAAAGAAAAGAGGCACAGGUGGGCCCCCAAACCAAGGCCAAUCAGGAUGUGGACGGGAGCCGCGCUGUGAAUGCUUCCGGAAGCUUCUAACUGCCCCCGACUGGCGAUCUAUCUUGACCCUGUCUCAAAAUAAAGUAAAAAUGUCUGGGAUGUGGCUCGGGGGUUAAGCGCCCCUGGGUUCAAUCCCUGGUUCCCCCUAAAGAUGCUCCCCACUGAGGGGGGACCUCCCAACAGGGGAAACUGGGUGGGGGGCUCUGUGGGAACCUGCCCUUCCUGCUGGACAUUCCUGUUAACCUAGAAGCACUUUAAGAAAUAAAAUAAAUAAAUAACAGAAACACCCCUGAAGCCUGGUCCCAAGGACCCUCGCCCCCUGUGGCC
This 9160-nucleotide long non-coding RNA is filed under the name Marmota monax (woodchuck). Lineage: Eukaryota; Metazoa; Chordata; Mammalia; Rodentia; Sciuridae. The record is from RNAcentral.